This is a non-coding RNA of Vicia faba (fava bean), 204 nucleotides long. The record is from the annotation of a GenBank genome assembly. NCBI's taxonomy places the organism in Eukaryota, Viridiplantae, Streptophyta, Magnoliopsida, Fabales, Fabaceae.
AUGUCACAAAGAAUAGUUGCUGAUAGAAAAGAUGAUUCCAUACCUUCUCCGACUACGACGAGCAUCAAAACGACAACCACCUCCGAUGCCAGAAAAUUGCGGCCACCUGUAGCUCCUCUGCACCGGAACAAUGCCUACCCACUCUGCACCACCUUCACCGUGAACGACACCGAUGGAUCUACCGAUCCAACCCCCGGUAAGUAG